Molecule: ribosomal RNA, 264 nt
Filed under: uncultured microorganism
Description: partial 16S ribosomal RNA
Rfam family: Bacterial small subunit ribosomal RNA
Source: RNAcentral
GCGCACCAGUCGAGAAUAUUCGGCAAUGGGCGAAAGCCUGACCGAGCGACGCCGCGUGCGGGAUGAAGGCCUUCGGGUUGUAAACCGCUUUUCUAAGGGAAAAAUUGUGUCCCACUGUUGUUUGGAGAAAAAAUAAUAAGAAUAAGAUGGAUGGCCGUAGAGUUCCGUGACUUCCGCAGGUUUUCAUAAAAAUACCAAAUUACAGUGAGGCACAAAUUGAUGGUACCUUAGGAAUAAGAGGUUGCUAACUCCGUGCCAGCAGCA